AAUGAGGUGCGCGCGCGAGACCUCAUUGUUGUGUUCGCGAGCGCAGGAGGUGGUGGUCUCACAGCAACCGCUGUUUGUUUAAUCGAUUAAUUUUCGGCCAUAACCCGAAUCUUAAUAGUUUGGUGUAAAAUAAAAUGAGUUACGGUAGACCUCCGCCUGAUGUAGAAGGCAUGACUUCGUUAAAGGUAGAUAAUUUAACGUAUCGCACAUCGCCGGAGACGCUGAGGCGCGUCUUUGAAAAGUACGGCCGAGUCGGGGACGUUUAUAUCCCUCGAGACCGAUACACGAAAGAAAGCAGAGGUUUCGCAUUCGUGCGCUUUCACGACAAGAGGGAUGCAGAAGAUGCGAUGGACGCCAUGGAUGGAGCGAUCUUGGAUGGACGAGAACUUCGGGUUCAGAUGGCCCGCUACGGUAGGCCGCCCGACUCGUACUAUGGUGGACGUCGCGGCGGCGGGGGACCCGCGAGGAGACACGGCGGACAUGGCCGCCGCAGCAGCCGAAGCCCAAGACGUCGCCGACGCAGCCGUUCCAGAAGCAGGAGCCGUUCACGUUCCCGCAGCCGCUCCCGUUACAGCAGAUCACGGUCACGCUCCUAUUCACGCUCCCGAUCUCGCUCCAAGUCGCAUAGCCCUCGUAAGAGGAAGUCCAAGUCUCCCUCCAAGUCUAGGUCCCGUUCAAGAUCCAAAUCCAGGUCUCGUUCCAGAAGCCGCACACCUGCGUCGAACAGAGAGUCCAAGUCCAGGUCAAGAUCUAAAAGCCAACCAAAAUCUGCUGGCGAGGAAGCGCCCACAUCAUCCUAAAUGCUCACAGUGGUAAGAAUCCACCUCACUUUACUUCUCUAAAAUUUAAAGUUAAAGUGAUUUACAGCAAGCUCUUAAAUGUCAGAAAUGGUUUUUUAAAAUUCUAGCUUACAGACAGAGCCUUCCACACAAUGGAUGCAUCACAUCUGUGUGGCUCUCUAUGGAAAGUGAGCUCCCACUUAAAACAAUGAUUUGGUUAUUUAUUAGCUUUAAAUAUCACAAUGGUUAUAUUGCAGAGCAGGUUUAUGGUUCUGCUUUGACAUGCUAUGAUUGGUGUUGAACUCAAUGUGGAAUUGUUUCCUCCAAGCUGCUGAAUCCAGUAUGGAAAUGUAAAAGCAGGGGUGUGAGGUGAAGUUUUGGCUGUUAGAGGUGUGUGUGAUCCAGCCACCUGCUCCUGUUGGGGUUGCAUUGGAGCAGAUGGGUGUUUUGAUGGUGCUGAGGUCGAUUUCGUCAUGGGACGUUUCUAAACACAUGACCUCUGUUGGAGCCUGAGGAACCUCGGAUUGAGAAUCUCCAAAAUCUACACAAAGCCUACUUGGGCCUAAAGGUCAUUAUGACUGAUUGGCAUAUAAACGAACUGUUUGAUUGUUUCACAGCCCUUUUGUUCUUUGAAUAAAUACAUUGUCCUUAUUUUCAGUGAGGAUGUUUUAAAUGUCUAUGUCCUUUUUUUUAAUUCGUUGAGUAGGACGAACGUCACAAUUCUAUUGGCCUUUAAGGUAAACCCAGUGUCUCGGUGAUGGUUCAGAAGGUGUUAGAUGCACCUCACUUGUGUAAUAUUUUUGCAAGACGCUGUUUAGUAUAUUCAGCUUGGCUUUUUUGUUGUUUUGCUUUAAAAAGAUGAUCCUUAUGCUAUCUUGAAAUGGCUCAAAAUAUGAAGUUUUUUCUUUCUAAUCAACAUAUAUGAUGUUGAUGCGUGAUUGUAACACUUCUUGUAUUUUACUUUAUUUUAGUUUUUUGACAUUUGGAUUCUAACCCCAUGUCUUGUGUAUUUUUUGUGCACUAGGCGCAGUUGUCUAGCUGUUGAGUAUUGCGGUUAGCUGUUAAGAUCCGGUGUUGCAGUGCUUGGCUGUUUCCGGUUUUCUCCAGAUUGCAGCUGUUGCAGGUGUGGCCGAGGUCAAACAGCAUCUGCAGAUAGAUGUUUGGUGGUUUAUGCAAUGUUGUCAAUUAAAGUUCUUUCAUUCUUGUUCCAUGAUUUGGAAAAUUGGGAGUACCACUUGCUGAUAUAACCAGGAAGUCAUAACAAUACAAUUUGUUCUGUCAUUUCAUUUUUGAAUCCUCAAUAAAUCGAAUAAUAAAGUAA
Molecule: non-coding RNA, 2100 nt
Organism: Paramisgurnus dabryanus
Lineage: Eukaryota; Metazoa; Chordata; Actinopteri; Cypriniformes; Cobitidae
Source: RefSeq, a predicted model, not a curated record